GGGUUGUGAGGUUAAGCGACUAAGCGUACACGGUGGAUGCCCUGGCAGUCAGAGGCGAUGAAGGACGUGCUAAUCUGCGAAAAGCGUCGGUAAGGUGAUAUGAACCGUUAUAACCGGCGAUGUCCGAAUGGGGAAACCCAGUGCAAUUCGUUGCACUAUCGUUAACUGAAUACAUAGGUUAACGAGGCGAACCGGGGGAACUGAAACAUCUAAGUACCCCGAGGAAAAGAAAUCAACCGAGAUUCCCCCAGUAGCGGCGAGCGAACGGGGAGCAGCCCAGAGUCUGAAUCAGCUUGUGUGUUAGUGGAACGGUCUGGAAAGUCCGACGGUACAGGGUGAUAGUCCCGUACACCAAAAUGCACAGGCUGUGAACUCGAAGAGUAGGGCGGGACACGUGGUAUCCUGUCUGAAUAUGGGGGGACCAUCCUCCAAGGCUAAAUACUCCUGACUGACCGAUAGUGAACCAGUACCGUGAGGGAAAGGCGAAAAGAACCCCGGCGAGGGGAGUGAAAAAGAACCUGAAACCGUGUACGUACAAGCAGUGGGAGCACCUUCGGGUGUGACUGCGUACCUUUUGUAUAAUGGGUCAGCGACUUAUAUUCUGUAGCAAGGUUAACCGUAUAGGGG
Molecule: ribosomal RNA, 627 nt
Filed under: Klebsiella pneumoniae
Lineage: Bacteria; Pseudomonadati; Pseudomonadota; Gammaproteobacteria; Enterobacterales; Enterobacteriaceae
Description: partial 23S ribosomal RNA
Rfam family: Bacterial large subunit ribosomal RNA
Source: RNAcentral